CAGACUCGGAGCCUGCAGCUACAGACCCCCGCCCAGAGAGCCGCAUUCUCAGACCCCUCGUUUUUCGAGACGGCGAUCAAAUUGGAUCGGAUAAACAUUUGAAGAAACAUGGAUAUAACAAUUCAAACGGGGGACUCACUUCCAGAAAUUCCAAAAUGUCACAAAUGCUGCAGUGAUUUUGACUACCAUCAAAGUGGUUCCCCCUAAAGCCAUGUGUGCCUGUCUACAUGGACAGCCAUUAUUCAUGGCCUAUGUGAAAUGCAGGCAUUAUCCUGGCAGGAAGCUGAGCAGGUGUUCCUCAGUGGCCCUUCUUAUCACUCGAGUGAAGUCAAGGAAUUUGACAGAGCAGUUUCCAAAAGACAGAAAAAGAAGGAAAAAAAAUCACCUGCAGGAACAAGAUGAUGUUUAGGUGAUUGUUCAAUAAAGUACAGAAUUGUUUAUUAUUAGUGUUUUGUCUAUUAUUAUUUAAGUUUAGCUUCGGAUUCAAAAUAUC
This is a long non-coding RNA of Paramisgurnus dabryanus, 493 nucleotides long. RefSeq lists it as uncharacterized. The record is from RefSeq and is a predicted model, not a curated record. NCBI's taxonomy places the organism in Eukaryota, Metazoa, Chordata, Actinopteri, Cypriniformes, Cobitidae.